GCGCGGAUUGGCCCUGCGGGCUCGGCCUUUUGUCAGCAGGCCGCACACGCGCCGGACCGGGUACCGCUGUGCCCGGCCUGGCCGCGGCCUAGUCCCGGCAGACGGGACUGACGAGGUCACCAAGCCCAGGCCGAGACGGCGCGGGUGUCAGGGACUUGGGAAUCCCCCUCCCCCAGUCCCGAUCCCGCUUUCCUUUGGGGUUUCACCUCAGAGGACCCGACAUCACUCUUGCAGUUUCCUCAUCAAGAUGGACUGCACCUUCUGGCAUCUCAAGUGGUUCUUGUGAAGAUUAAAUGAAUCCAUCAGGCCGGGCGCGGUGGCUCACACCUGUAAUCCCAGCACUUUGGGAGGCCGAGACGAGCACAUCACCUGAGGUCAGGAGUUCCAGACCAGCCUGGCCAACAUGGUGAAACCCCAUCUCUACUAAAAAUACAAAAAGUUAGCCAGGUGUGGUGGCUCAUGCUUGUAGUCCCAGCUACGUGGGAGGCUGAGGCAGGCGAAUCACUUGAACCCAGGAGGCGGAGGUUGCAGUGAGCCAAGAUUGUGCCAUUGCACUCCAGCCUGGGGGAUAGAGUGAGACUCCAUCUCAAAAAAAUAAAUAAAAAAAAAAAAAUGGAUCAAUCAGUUUAAAAACUUAGAACAGUGCGUGGCAAAUAGUGCUCAAGAAGAGUAGGCUUGUGAAACAUUCACAUGCAUCGUUUUAACGAACAAUGCUUCCCCAGACCUCCCCACAGAGUUGAUGCUCUGGAAAGAAAAGCCAGGCUUUUCUCUGAGGUUUUGCAUCUCCUUGGCCAAUGUGCUCAUGCCAGAGAAGAGCAGUGCAUGGCCAGUUUGAGGAGCACGGCCAUGUGACCUUGGACAGCCCCUGCCUCUCUCUAGGACUCACUCCCGGCUGCUAACCUCAGCUCUCUGAUCUGUACCACAAGGAGCUGCCACUAACACCUGUGUCAGAACUACUGUAAGGACCCUUUCCUCCUGGGAGAGGAGAACAGUGCUAAACCUGUCUGAACGUGAUAGACAUGCUACAAACUGCCAACCCUUUAGGCUAUAAACUGC
RNAcentral lists this long non-coding RNA (1056 nucleotides) under Pan troglodytes (chimpanzee). RNAcentral's name for it is "long non-coding RNA NONPTRT003104". Lineage: Eukaryota; Metazoa; Chordata; Mammalia; Primates; Hominidae. The record is from RNAcentral.